AAUGAACGUUGGCGGCGUGGAUUAGGCAUGCAAGUCGAGCGAGAAGUCUGUGAGUGAUCCUUCGGGUGAACGAUCAGACGGACAGCGGCAGACGGCGUAGUAAUGGAUAGGUAACGUACCCUCAGGUCGGGAAUAGCCACGGGAAACUGUGGGUAAUGCCCGAUAACAUCUCCGGAUCAAAGGUGUGAUUCCGCCUGAGGAGCGGCUUAUUUGGUAUUAACUAGUUGGUGGGGUAAUGGCCUACCAAGGUUUUGAUGCUUAGGGGGUGUGAGAGCAUGGCCCCCACGACCGGGACUGAGACACUGCCCGGACAUCUACGGAUGGCUGCAGUCGAGAAUCUUCCGCAAUGGGCGCAAGCCUGACGGAGCGACGCCGCGUGUGGGAUGACGGCCCUUGGGUUGUAAACCACUGUCAGAGGGGAUGAAAUUCUUGGGGGCUAUCCCCCUUGAUUGACAGAGCCUCAGAGGAAGCACGGGCUAAGUACG
RNAcentral lists this ribosomal RNA (485 nucleotides) under uncultured Planctomyces sp. RNAcentral describes it as "bacterial SSU rRNA". It matches the Rfam family "Bacterial small subunit ribosomal RNA", at positions 29 to 505 of the family's 1533-position model. Lineage: Bacteria; Pseudomonadati; Planctomycetota; Planctomycetia; Planctomycetales; Planctomycetaceae. The record is from RNAcentral.